Molecule: ribosomal RNA, 253 nt
Filed under: uncultured bacterium
Lineage: Bacteria
Description: partial 16S ribosomal RNA
Rfam family: Bacterial small subunit ribosomal RNA
Source: RNAcentral
UACAGAGGGGGCAAGCGUUAUUCGGAAUUAUUGGGCGUAAAGGGCGCGUAGGCGGCUUUGCAAGUGACGGGUGAAAUCCCUCGGCUUAACCGAGGAACUGCCUGUCAGACUGUGAGGCUUGAGACCGGGAGAGGUGAGUGGAAUUCCCAGUGUAGCGGUGAAAUGCGUAGAUAUUGGGAGGAACACCAGUGGCGAAGGCGGCUCACUGGACCGGAACUGACGCUGAGGCGCGAAAGCGUGGGGAGCAAACGGG